Molecule: long non-coding RNA, 205 nt
Filed under: Salvia miltiorrhiza (redroot sage)
Lineage: Eukaryota; Viridiplantae; Streptophyta; Magnoliopsida; Lamiales; Lamiaceae
Description: long non-coding RNA (SMIL_LNC013062)
Source: RNAcentral
UAACUCAAAAAGGUCUUUUCUCAUUGGUUGUAAUGGGGCUAAGGACCAUUCAUGAUGUUAGCAAGAUCCUAGGGGUCCUAAGCUUAAACAUUGAAAAUCAAAGUGUGCAUAUCUAAUCCAAACCAUCAUCCACAAAUUCAAGUUCAUAGAGAAAGAAAGCAACCAAACUUUGGGGAAAAACUCCAAAAAUAACAAUGACACCACA